AUACGGAGGGGGCUAGCGUUGUUCGGAAUUACUGGGCGUAAAGCGCACGUAGGCGGAUUGGUAAGUUGGGGGUGAAAUCCCAAGGCUCAACCUUGGAACUGCCCUCGAAACUGCCAGUCUUGAGUCCGGAAGAGGUGAGUGGAAUUCCUAGUGUAGAGGUGAAAUUCGUAGAUAUUAGGAAGAACACCAGUGGCGAAGGCGGCUCACUGGUCCGGUACUGACGCUGAGGUGCGAAAGCGUGGGGAGCAAACAGGAUUAGAAACCCCAGUAGUCC
This 274-nucleotide ribosomal RNA is filed under the name uncultured bacterium. Its description in RNAcentral is "partial 16S ribosomal RNA". It matches the Rfam family "Bacterial small subunit ribosomal RNA", at positions 523 to 796 of the family's 1533-position model. The record is from RNAcentral.